GAUGAAUACCUAAAAGGGAAUCAGGUGAAAGUCCUGAACAGAUCCCGCUGCUGUAAGUUCAUUGAUGGUUUUACACAAAACUUUUGCCACUGGAUAAUAAAAUCCGGGAAGGUGUGUAAACGGAACAAGUCAGAAAACCUGCCUUUACAAAUAA
Molecule: non-coding RNA, 154 nt
Filed under: uncultured Dysgonomonas sp.
Lineage: Bacteria; Pseudomonadati; Bacteroidota; Bacteroidia; Bacteroidales; Dysgonomonadaceae
Source: RNAcentral